Molecule: ribosomal RNA, 253 nt
Filed under: uncultured bacterium
Lineage: Bacteria
Description: partial 16S ribosomal RNA
Rfam family: Bacterial small subunit ribosomal RNA
Source: RNAcentral
UACGUAGGGCGCAAGCGUUGUCCGGAAUUAUUGGGCGUAAAGAGCUCGUAGGCGGCCUGUUACGUCUGCUGUGAAAUCCCGGGGCUUAACCCCGGGCGUGCAGUGGAUACGGGCAGGCUGGAGGCAGGCAGGGGAGAAUGGAAUUCCCGGUGUAGCGGUGAAAUGCGCAGAUAUCGGGAGGAACACCGGUGGCGAAGGCGGUUCUCUGGGCCUGUUCUGACGCUGAGGAGCGAAAGCGUGGGGAGCGAACAGG